UCACGAAUGUUUGAUCUUGAACAGAACUUACAACAUCAAAUAGUGGGAGUCUGUACCUGAACAAAUGUCAAAUCAUAUUUUUCGCUGAGAUGGCCAGUCAAUUUGAGUAACGAUAUUGUGGAUUCUACGCAAUGACGCAGUUUUACGUUAUCACGCAAUAACAUCAAAGUCAUUUAGCAACAAAUCAACCUGCCUCUAGCAACUUACCCAGAAAAUGAGUUGGCAACACUGCGACUGGAGUGUAACUGUAAAAUGGCGCCCAGUGAAAUCUGAGUGGAAAAGAAAAGGGAAUGUAAUAAAAGAGCACAGAGACAAAUUGUGACUCCAAUGCACAAGAAUAACGCUUCUACGGACGUGUCCAUCCAAACAGUCACGUUGGAUGGAAGAAGAGUAGCGAAUAGUAUGGAAGGCUUGUUUGAAGAGCUAGUGAGGCUGAAUGUCCACAGUGUCCCCAGUAUCGGAUGAAGGAGUUCCUGGAGUCCCUGUCCAACAAGAGCUCAAAGGCACUGCAGGAGUUCAACCAGCAGGCAGGUGUUAUCACUACAACCACCACCAUGGUUUACCAGCAUGGGGUCAACUGCAUCUACACAGACAGCAACGAGGUGGCUGGGUCACUGUUGGAACUGUCUGUCUGGUACAGGUGUCCCAGCAAAAGGUGAUGUCAUAACAGCAGCAGCUCUCGCCCCAUAUGACCACAGCCGCAAAGGCCAAGACAUAAUACAGGGGGGUCACCAUGAAGAUGAUCCUAACAUGCUGCUCCCACACCAUCCUCCAGAAGUCAGCCAUGGUGCUGCGCAAAGGACCCUGGCUACAGAUUAAGUCUGGCUCUGUACAGCCCCCUGAAAAGCAGACCGCUGACUUGAUGAAUGGAUAUAUGGACAGACAGAGUACUUACAGGGACAUAACUAGCGUUGAUAUAGCUUCACUCUACAGUGGUAAUCUGAAAUCACAGGGACUGUUAUUAAUCAACGUGAUCAGAAAGUGGGAAGCAUUACCGAACAUGGGAGAGAUGUGAAGGAUGUGUUAAUGUGCUUAGAUACAGCAGGUUAUAUAGUCAUGGUAAUUACUCUCCUAUUACUCAGGGGCAGGAUGUGGUGGUGCUAUGAUAUGGUGUGUGCUAUGAUACUCUCAAGGGAGUAUGUAGGGGUAUCUGUUCUCUCUGUUAACCUUCCAGGUCUUCAGCCCUGGUAGUGAGUUAUUUACCAUCAUCCAGCUCCUGAAGAAUAAACAGCUAAUGGGACACUAUGAAACAGCCACAGCAGACACUGCACAAAGACUCCAAAGCACAAUCAUCUAGAAAAAAAAAGAAAAGAAAAAUAUGCCAUUUAGCGGACGCUUUUAUCCAAAGCGACUUACAGUCAUGUGUGCAUACAUUCUACGUAUACUGUAUGGUGUGGUCUCACAAGACUGAUGGCCUAGAUUAGUGAGUUUGGUUUACCUCAAACUGCCCUUGGCAUCGAGUGAUUGAAAGCACAGGUGGAAUUCCUGUAGUUUAUGUGCCCGUGAAAGCACACUUAUUCGAUGUGGAAACAUGGCAACAGUCUUCAGCCGAUUAAAACAAGUUUUUUAAACAAAGUGGUGUUUUUACAAGUGACUACACCCAUAUUGUUCUAAAAUUCCAUCAUUCCAUGCUUCUGGGUUGGACUUGAGAAAACAACAAUAGGCUAAAACACUUCACUAACAGCACUCAGUUACUGUAUAUCAACUAAUGAAAGGUUACUUUUCUCUUCCAUAUUUUAGCAGAUGCUCUUAUCCAGAGCAAUUACGGUUAAGUGCCUUGAACAUCAACAUAUUUUUCACCGAGUUGGCCUCAGGGAUUCGAACCUUUCGGUUACUGGUCCAAUGCUCUAAAACCGCUCCGCUACCUGCCACCCAUACCAUUUCACAAAGACUCAAGUUAUUAUAUCCACUCCUUCAUUGACUUUCAGAGUUCCUCACCUCAUGUUUGUUAUGGGUGCAGAGAUUAGGCAAAGCUUCCUUUGGUAACCAAGAAUGGAAGUAUAGUGUAGAGGGAGCCAGGCUGGUGAGGUGGUGUUGGGUAGUUUUAAAAGAAAUGUGAUCAGAGGAUCACAAAGCCAAAUCCCCCACCCACCCCUGCUAGCUAAAGAGGAAUUUGGACACACAGUGGCUCUCACACACAAGGAUUUGAACACCAACCUGAGAACACUAUACAAACCUGCAUCAACAGGUCUACAACUCAAAACACAGGUAAAGCACAGAGUGAGCAACCCCAGCCUAGUGUUCCUUAUUAGUUAGUAUCACCUUUGUAAGUGCUCCUUUGAGUGAGAAAGAGUUUAGAGAGCAACGGGGGCUCUUCCCAUCGAUGUGUUAUGUCCUGUCAAGUUGUCAGUCUCCAAUUAUCCAAGCCACCACAUUUUAUUCUCUCAAUUCAAAGGGCUUUAUUGGCAUAGGAAACAUAUGUUUACAUUGCCAAUGCAAGUGAAUAGAUAAUAAGCAAAAGUGAAAUAAACAAUCAAAAAUUAACUGUAAACAUUAUACUCACAAAGGUUUCAGAGAAAUAGAGAUAUUUCAAAUGUCAUAAAAUGUAGUAAUACACAGCUGUGUACCUUAAAACCUUAGGAAACCUGGCCAGCUGCAUACCACCAUGCACCCUACUGCUGGCUUGCCUCAAACUAACCAGGGUUGGUCCCUGGAUGGGAGACCAGAUGAUGCAGGUACUGGUGUUGGAGGGCCAGUAGGAGGCCCUGUUUCCUCUGGUCUAAAACAAAUAAUAUCCCAGAGCAGUGAUUGGGGCUAUGGCCCUGUGUAGGGUGCUUUCUUUGGAUGGGAUGUUAAAUGGAUGUCCUGGCUCUCUGUGGUCACUAAAGAUCCCAUGCCACUUAUUGUAGGGGUUGUAACCCUGGUGUCCUGGCUACAUUCUCGGUUCUCAGUCAACUUACCUGGUAAUUCAAGGGUUACUUUUUUUAUCACUUCAAUCAAGAGAGGACAGAUACCACUGGUCUAAGCAAUAGUUUAUCAAUUAUAUAUGUAUGUCACAUACAAAUACCAAAACAACUUUUUAAAAUUAUGUAACAAGUGUAAAUAACAUGAAAAAUC
Long non-coding RNA from Oncorhynchus gorbuscha (pink salmon), 3057 nucleotides. RefSeq lists it as uncharacterized. The record is from RefSeq and is a predicted model, not a curated record. NCBI's taxonomy places the organism in Eukaryota, Metazoa, Chordata, Actinopteri, Salmoniformes, Salmonidae. The transcript has 4 exons.